Molecule: transfer RNA, 65 nt
Filed under: Chelonia mydas (Green sea turtle)
Lineage: Eukaryota; Metazoa; Chordata; Testudines; Cheloniidae
Rfam family: tRNA
About the family: Transfer RNA (tRNA) molecules are approximately 80 nucleotides in length. Their secondary structure includes four short double-helical elements and three loops (D, anti-codon, and T loops).
Source: Rfam by way of RNAcentral
GGCAGAGUGGCCUAAUGGGUAGGGCACUGGACUGGGACACCUGUGUUCUAUUCUUGGCUCUGCCA